RNAcentral lists this ribosomal RNA (301 nucleotides) under uncultured bacterium. Its description in RNAcentral is "partial 16S ribosomal RNA". It matches the Rfam family "Bacterial small subunit ribosomal RNA", at positions 509 to 807 of the family's 1533-position model. The record is from RNAcentral.
CAGCAGCCACGGUAAUACGAAGGGGGCUAGCGUUGCACGGAAUGACUGGGCGUAAAGGGCGCGUAGGCGGCGGCCAAAGUCAGGCGUGAAAUUCCCGGGCUCAACCUGGGGGCUGCGUUUGAUACUUGGUUGCUUGAGUGGGGAAGAGGGUCGUGGAAUUCCCAGUGUAGAGGUGAAAUUCGUAGAUAUUGGGAAGAACACCGGUGGCGAAGGCGGCGACCUGGUCCUUUACUGACGCUGAGGCGCGAAAGCGUGGGGAGCAAACAGGAUUAGAUACCCCAGUAGUCCCUGUCUCUUAUAC